UUAAGUGACUAAGCGUACACGGUGGAUGCCUGGGCAGUCAGAGGCGAUGAAGGACGUACUAACUUGCGAUAAGCGCAGAUAAGGCAGUAAGAGCCGUUUGAGUCUGCGAUUUCCGAAUGGGGAAACCCAACUGCAUAAGCAGUUACUGUUAACUGAAUACAUAGGUUAACAGAGCAAACCGGGGGAACUGAAACAUCUAAGUACCCCGAGGAGAAGAAAUCAACCGAGAUUCCGGUAGUAGCGGCGAGCGAACCUGGAUUAGCCCUUAAGCACUCGGUGAAGUAGGUGAACAAGCUGGAAAGCUUGGCGAUACAGGGUGAUAGCCCCGUAACCGACGCUUCAUCGAGCGUGAAAUCGAGUAGGGCGGGACACGUGAUAUCCUGUCUGAAUAUGGGGGGACCAUCCUCCAAGGCUAAAUACUCCUGACUGACCGAUAGUGAACCAGUACCGUGAGGGAAAGGCGAAAAGAACCCCUGUGAGGGGAGUGAAAUAGAACCUGAAACCGUGUACGUACAAGCAGUAGGAGCACCUUCGUGGUGUGACUGCGUACCUUUUGUAUAAUGGGUCAGCGACUUAUAUUCAGUGGCAAGGUUAACCGUAUAGGGGAGCCGUAGCGAAAGCGAGUCUUAACUGGGCGCUCAGUCUCUGGAUAUAGACCCGAAACCGGGUGAUCUAGCCAUGAGCAGGUUGAAGGUUGAGUAACAUCAACUGGAGGACCGAACCGACUAAUGUUGAAAAAUUAGCGGAUGACUUGUGGCUAGGGGUGAAAGGCCAAUCAAACUCGGAGAUAGCUGGUUCUCCCCGAAAGCUAUUUAGGUAGCGCCUCGGACGAAUACUACUGGGGGUAGAGCACUGUUAAGGCUAGGGGGUCAUCCCGACUUACCAACCCUUUGCAAACUCCGAAUACCAGUAAGUACUAUCCGGGAGACACACGGCGGGUGCUAACGUCCGUCGUGGAGAGGGAAACAACCCAGACCGCAGCUAAGGUCCCAAAGUAUUGCUAAGUGGGAAACGAUGUGGGAAGGCUCAGACAGCUAGGAUGUUGGCUUAGAAGCAGCCAUCAUUUAAAGAAAGCGUAAUAGCUCACUAGUCGAGUCGGCCUGCGCGGAAGAUGUAACGGGGCUAAGCAAUACACCGAAGCUGCGGCAAUGUCUUUUAGAUAUUGGGUAGGGGAGCGUUCUGUAAGCCGUUGAAGGUGAAUCGUAAGGUUUGCUGGAGGUAUCAGAAGUGCGAAUGCUGACAUGAGUAACGACAAAGGGGGUGAAAAACCUCCUCGCCGGAAGACCAAGGGUUCCUGUCCAACGUUAAUCGGGGCAGGGUGAGUCGACCCCUAAGGUGAGGCCGAAAGGCGUAAUCGAUGGGAAACGGGUUAAUAUUCCCGUACUUCUGACUAUUGCGAUGGGGGGACGGAGAAGGCUAGGUGGGCCAGGCGACGGUUGUCCUGGUUCAAGUGCGUAGGCUUGAGGGUUAGGUAAAUCCGGCUCUCUCUAAGGCUGAGACACGACGUCGAGCUGCUACGGCAGUGAAGUCAUUGAUGCCAUGCUUCCAGGAAAAGCCUCUAAGCUUCAGAUAGUCAGGAAUCGUACCCCAAACCGACACAGGUGGUCGGGUAGAGAAUACCAAGGCGCUUGAGAGAACUCGGGUGAAGGAACUAGGCAAAAUGGUACCGUAACUUCGGGAGAAGGUACGCUCUUGAUGGUGAAGUCCCUCGCGGAUGGAGCUGACGAGAGUCGCAGAUACCAGGUGGCUGCAACUGUUUAUUAAAAACACAGCACUGUGCAAAAUCGCAAGAUGACGUAUACGGUGUGACGCCUGCCCGGUGCCGGAAGGUUAAUUGAUGGGGUUAGCGCAAGCGAAGCUCUUGAUCGAAGCCCCGGUAAACGGCGGCCGUAACUAUAACGGUCCUAAGGUAGCGAAAUUCCUUGUCGGGUAAGUUCCGACCUGCACGAAUGGCGUAAUGAUGGCCACGCUGUCUCCACCCGAGACUCAGUGAAAUUGAAAUCGCUGUGAAGAUGCAGUGUACCCGCGGCUAGACGGAAAGACCCCGUGAACCUUUACUACAGCUUGGCACUGAACAUUGAACCUACAUGUGUAGGAUAGGUGGGAGGCUAUGAAGACGUGACGCCAGUUGCGUUGGAGCCGUCCUUGAAAUACCACCCUUGUAUGUUUGAUGUUCUAACUUAGACCCAUUAUCUGGGUUGAGGACAGUGCCUGGUGGGUAGUUUGACUGGGGCGGUCUCCUCCCAAAGAGUAACGGAGGAGCACGAAGGUGGGCUAAUCACGGUUGGACAUCGUGAGGUUAGUGCAAUGGCAUAAGCCCGCUUAACUGCGAGAAUGACGGUUCGAGCAGGUGCGAAAGCAGGUCAUAGUGAUCCGGUGGUUCUGUAUGGAAGGGCCAUCGCUCAACGGAUAAAAGGUACUCCGGGGAUAACAGGCUGAUACCGCCCAAGAGUUCAUAUCGACGGCGGUGUUUGGCACCUCGAUGUCGGCUCAUCACAUCCUGGGGCUGAAGUCGGUCCCAAGGGUAUGGCUGUUCGCCAUUUAAAGUGGUACGCGAGCUGGGUUUAGAACGUCGUGAGACAGUUCGGUCCCUAUCUGCCGUGGGCGUUGGAAGAUUGAAGGGGGCUGCUCCUAGUACGAGAGGACCGGAGUGGACGAACCUCUGGUGUUCGGGUUGUGUCGCCAGACGCAUUGCCCGGUAGCUAAGUUCGGAAUUGAUAAGCGCUGAAAGCAUCUAAGCGCGAAGCGAGCCCUGAGAUGAGUCUUCCCUGAUACUUUAAGUAUCCUAAAGGGUUGUUCGAGACUAGAACGUUGAUAGGCAGGGUGUGUAAGCGUUGUGAGGCGUUGAGCUAACCUGUACUAAUUGCCCGUGAGGCUUAACCAU
This 2884-nucleotide ribosomal RNA is filed under the name Vibrio cholerae HC-61A2. RNAcentral describes it as "bacterial LSU rRNA". It matches the Rfam family "Bacterial large subunit ribosomal RNA". Lineage: Bacteria; Pseudomonadati; Pseudomonadota; Gammaproteobacteria; Vibrionales; Vibrionaceae. The record is from RNAcentral.